This 571-nucleotide ribosomal RNA is filed under the name uncultured bacterium. RNAcentral's name for it is "partial 16S ribosomal RNA". It matches the Rfam family "Bacterial small subunit ribosomal RNA", at positions 355 to 913 of the family's 1533-position model. The record is from RNAcentral.
UGGGGAACAUUGCACAAUGGGCGCAAGCCUGAUGCAGCCAUGCCGCGUGUGUGAAGAAGGCCUUCGGGUUGUAAAGCACUUUCAGCGAGGAGGAAGGUGGUGGACUUAAUACGUUCAUCAAUUGACGUUACUCGCAGAAGAAGCACCGGCUAACUCCGUGCCAGCAGCCGCGGUAAUACGGAGGGUGCAAGCGUUAAUCGGAAUUACUGGGCGUAAAGCGCACGCAGGCGGUUUGUUAAGUCAGAUGUGAAAUCCCCGGGCUCAACCUGGGAACUGCAUUUGAAACUGGCAAGCUAGAGUCUCGUAGAGGGGGGUAGAAUUCCAGGUGUAGCAGUGAAAUGCGUAGAGAUCUGGAGGAAUACCGGUGGCGAAGGCGGCCCCCUGGACGAAGACUGACGCUCAGGCGCGAAAAGCGUGGGGAGCAAACAGGAUUAGAUACCCCUGGUUAGUCCACGCUGUAAAACGAUGUCGAUUUUGGAGGUUGUGCCCUUGAGGCGUGGNUUCCGGAGCUAACGNGUUAAAUCGACCGCCNGGGGAGUACGGCCNCAAGGUUAAAACUUAAAGGAAUUGC